Molecule: regulatory RNA element, 31 nt
Rfam family: L31-Coriobacteria ribosomal protein leader
Source: Rfam
UCCUUGGUCGGAAACCAAGGGAAGAUAGGAG